Molecule: ribosomal RNA, 574 nt
Filed under: uncultured bacterium
Lineage: Bacteria
Description: partial 16S ribosomal RNA
Rfam family: Bacterial small subunit ribosomal RNA
Source: RNAcentral
UAGGGAAUAUUGGGCAAUGGACGGAAGUCUGACCCAGCCAUGCCGCGUGCAGGAAGAAGGUCCUCUGGAUUGUAAACUGCUUUAGACGGGGAAGAAUAAGGAUCAUGCGUGAUCUGAUGACGGUACCCGUAGAAUAAGCACCGGCUAACUACGUGCCAGCAGCCGCGGUAAUACGUAGGGUGCGAGCGUUGUCCGGAUUUAUUGGGUUUAAAGGGUGCGUAGGCGGGAGAGUAAGUUCGCUUUUAAAGCCGGCCGCUUAACGGUCAGGUAGGGGGACGGAUACUGCUUUUCUUGAGAGGGCUCGGGGCUGGCGGAAUUUGUGGUGUAGCGGUGAAAUGCAUAGAUACCACAAGGAACACCGAUCGCGUAGGCAGCCAGCCAGGGCCUUUCUGACGCUGAGGCACGAAAGUGCGGGGAGCAAACAGGAUUAGAUACCCUGGUAGUCCGCACUGUAAACGAUGCAUACUCGGUGUCGGCUCGUUAGAGCCGGUGCCUGAGGGAAACCGAUAAGUAUGCCACCUGGGGAGUACGCCGGCAACGGUGAAACUCAAAUGAAUUGACGGGGUCAUAGCUG